Pelodiscus sinensis (Chinese soft-shelled turtle) is the source of this 3244-nucleotide non-coding RNA. Lineage: Eukaryota; Metazoa; Chordata; Testudines; Trionychidae. The record is from RefSeq and is a predicted model, not a curated record.
CAGCCAGCCUGCGACAGCUCCUUCGCCGCUGGAAGUCCUAACCGUACAGGCCCCACACAUGGCCCCUCCCCGUCACAUUCCUCCUGUGGGGGCCGCCAUCUUGUCCAGUCACAUGAUCGAGGUGAAGCUGUCCCGGCACGCGCUCGGAAGGCGUCGAUGAUUGGGCGGGCCCCGCAGGCCCAGCAUGGAGACUCGUGAAUGGCUACGCCAUUGGAGGGGGCGGGAUCGGUGGUGGGCCCGGUUCUCGUUGCUAGGGGAGGAGGAUGGCGACGGCAUCGGCGGCUCCUCCAUGGAGACGGGGCUGAGCCGGGACCCUGCAGCUGGAGAUGCGGAGACUCCCCUUAGCCGUGUCCUCAAUGGGGGCCCCUCAGCCCUCGGGGUAAUCGGCUGACACGGGCGGAGUCUGCGGCCGUUCAUCUGCCCCAGGCCUCAGCAUCCCAUUAGGCGCUGCCCGCGGUGCCUCCCGCCCAGCCGCUACCGUCUCGCCGCCUCGCUUAGCCGCCUGCCAGCUCCCGGCUCCCUCCCCACCUUCCUCAUCCAGUCCCGCCCCUGCCCCGCUCCCUCUCCCCCCUCACCUGACCUCCCCGCGGUCCAGAACCAAGCGGGGCCGCCCUACACUCACCGCAACAGACCUGACGAGCCCCCCUCGACGAGGACGAGGGGAAAGAUUUGUCUGUGUGGUGGGAAACAGAGAGCGAGAGGUCCCGGUCCGAAUGGUGAACGUUAAAGAGCAGAACAGAACAGCCCCCAAACACAGUGUCCAUCUUUCUUAGAAGAUAAAUGCAAAGCAGUUAUGUAACAUGCACCACGGCUCCUCAUGCAUGCAGGGAAACAUUUGGAGGCUGCAUGACAUUUUCAUACCUUUCUUAACAAUCUAGAUGGGGGCAAAUUCGUCUCUUCUGCUGAUCAAGGGGGAGAGAAGGGCUUAUACUGAGGCCAACCAGCUGCGCCCUUGUGUGUGGAAACUCUGGACUCAUUUCAUGGCUUGCUUUUUUCUUUAUUCCACCGAUACUGCAGCAUCUCUGAAAAUUAACCUUUUGUGAAGUUGUGCUCCAAACCCUCUCUGCUCCUCCUUCAUUAGGCGGCUGCUUUGCAAGGAAAGAAAUGGCAUGAAGUAAAUGGCUCCAGAAUAACACAAUCUGCUCUGCCAAAGUGCCCAGUGAGCAGAACUGUCACUUUAAUAAUUCCAUUGCAAGGGAUUGCUUUCCUUCUUUUCAAUCCUCUCUUUUAAUACAGUAUAUGGGAGGAUCAGAGGGACAUUAAAGACCAUAAGGCUGGGUGGCUUGGAGAGAAUAAAAAUGAAAGUGACUGGCGAGUGAUUUCUGUUGGUUAAGAGAGAGAUUUGAAAGCAUCUUUGCAGUGAUGAAAAAGGGAACCUUUUCAGUCUGUGUAUACACCCAGUACAGCUGUACAUAACUAGCAACAUUCACCCAAAUUCCAGUGAAAGGAGUUUGGACAAUUAUUUUUGAUUGCUUUUGUUCUCCACCAGAAAUUUAUUUGGAUUAUUUGUGAAUUUAGUCCUGAAAUUCAGAUGGCUUUGAACUGGUUCAGGUGGAAUAUUAUGACAGCUGCCUAGAGAUGGAUUGUGCCUUAAUCGUCUUACAUAAAAUUGUAACUGACAAACUUUUGCUGCCAGAAGAGGAGUUAUUAUAGGGUUUUAUAUCCCAAGGAGGCUUUUCUCUUGUAUUUUUAUAGAUUCAAAAAUAUUUUACAGAAAUUGAAAACCACUCUUGCAAAAUUCAAAACUUCUUUUUCUGUGGGAGGCACUUGAAGUUUACUUGGAGGAAAUAGUGAGUACUGCUAGAAAAAAAGAAGAUUGAAGUUUUAUUUCCUAACUGAACUGUUUAAGUAAUUUGAACAAAUACCUAGUUCUUGGGCUUACAAGCUGAUUCUAGUGGGACAUCAUUGAUACCAGUAAAUAAGCACUUGCAUCCAGUACCGGAAGUAAGACUAAGAAUGCCAGUCAAAAAGAAAGAUACUGAUCGAGCUUUAGCACUUCUAGAAGAAUAUUGUAAAAAGCUAAAGAAGCCGGAAGAGCAACAACUGAAAAAAGCCAUUAAAAAAGUGAUGGGCAUCUUUAAGAGCAGCUUAUUUCAGGCACUAAUAGAUAUCUUCACAGAGAAGUUGACUUCUAGUCGUCGCUGGCUUGGGCAAUCGGGUCUGUUUGAUCCUCAUUAAAUCCCCAGGGCAGUUCUUCCACCCAUGGCCAAAUUAUUGUUUUGUGAAAAUGAGGAUGAGGAGAGAUGAACCCAAGGUUAUAGACCGUGCAGAUUAGUAGGAACAUCUGACUCUUGAGGGGAAAAAUAACAGGAUUUUCGUCUGCUUCUGUGUUUUUCUCACUACAUACUCCAUCAGCAGAUAGCACCUUGUGACCAAUCUCCACCACUCCAAUUUGUUACACCUUCAGUACUACCCUAAAUGCUCUUCAAUAACCAGAAUAUACUAGGGUCAUCUGCUGUAUAGAUUGUGACAUAGAAAAGCUGCCAUCACUUACUUCCUCUCAUUUAUGUCCCUGUAGUAACUCUUGUUUCAGAAGAGUUAUAUUAUUGUUAAUCAUCCUACUGAAUAAUACCUCAAAUCCUCACUGGAAAGUGCAUCACCAUUGGGGAAAAAAUCUGGAUCCUGGAAAAAGAUUCAUAUCCUCUGCAUGAAUCAGAAUCAUAGAGACGUCUGGAAGCAGACAUUUACAUGGUUCAGUUGAAGUCUGAAGGAGCGAAGUGUGGAAAUUCUUCACAAAAUCAUUCUCUCUCUCCCACCUGUAACUUACCUUCACUUUAUGCUGUAUAUUUCAGUGAGUCACUCAGCAGAUGCAAGAACUUUCCCAGUCCUGAAUUAUAUAAGCAUAUAUGACUCUUCAGAUGCUAAUGGAAGGUGGAGAAAGUCUAGUCCAUGAAUUGCUGCUGAUGAAUAGCCAUUUAGGCUCAAAUUAAAGCAACAUUCCUCAUCUUCAGUAAUUUAUUUUGAUACAUAAAGCUAAUAUUGUAACAUUUGUGUUUUCUGUUUUCUUGAGCAAAUGCUUUAAAUUGCGGUUUUACAGAGUUAUGAUUAUACAAUACCUUAAAUUAUACUUAUAAGUAAAAAAGUUAAAGCUUAGUGUUUAAUCCAGCAACACCUCUGUUAUAAAUGAGCAAUAGUGCAUGUUGUUUCCUUCGGAAUUAAUUAUUUUUACUAUUGUGGACUCCAGCAGUUUUUGUUGUAAAACAGAAUUAAGAUAUUAGUAUUCAUGGGUAUUUUAACAUGUCAA